GAUGAACGCUGGCGGCGUGCCUAAUACAUGCAAGUCGAGCGAACGGACGAGAAGCUUGCUUUUCUGAUGUUAGCGGCGGACGGGUGAGUAACACGUGGAUAACCUACCUAUAAGACUGGGAUAACUUCGGGAAACCGGAGCUAAUACCGGAUAAUAUUUUGAACCGCAUGGUUCAAAAGUGAAAGACGGUAUUGCUUUCACUUAUAGAUGGAUCCCGGCUGCUUUAGCUAGUUGGUAAGGUAACGGCUUCCCAAGGGAACGAUGCAUAGCCGACCUGAGAGGGUGAUCGGCCACACGGGAACUGGGACCCGGUCCAGACUCCUACGGGAGGCAGCAGUAGGGAAUCUUCCGCAUUGGGGGAAAGCCUGACGGAGCAACGCCGCGUGGGUGAUGAAGGUCUUCGGAUCGUAAAACCCUGUUAUUAGGGAAGAACAUAUGUGUAAGUAACUGUGCACAUCUUGACGGUACCUAAUCAGAAAGCCACGGCUAACUACGUG
RNAcentral lists this ribosomal RNA (497 nucleotides) under uncultured bacterium. Its description in RNAcentral is "partial 16S ribosomal RNA". It matches the Rfam family "Bacterial small subunit ribosomal RNA", at positions 28 to 507 of the family's 1533-position model. The record is from RNAcentral.